AUUUUGUUUUUUCAUUUUUUUCCAUUUUUUUUACGUCGUGCUGACCCUCGUUCUUUAAAUGUCCCUAUCUCGAGGAGGACACCUGAAGGCGAGUCAUAAUGGCCUCAUCUCCGACAGGCUCCUCCCAUUUUUUUCGACUUUUUUUCCGAUGUUUUUUUACGUCGGGCUGACCCUCGUUCUUUAAAUGACCCUAUCCCGAGGAGGACAUCUGAAGGCGAGCCGUAAUGGCCUCAUCUCCGGCAGGCUCCUCUGAUCUUUUUUUCGUUUUUUUCCACGUUUUUUUUUACGUCGUGCUGACCCUCGU
Molecule: non-coding RNA, 304 nt
Organism: Arachis ipaensis
Lineage: Eukaryota; Viridiplantae; Streptophyta; Magnoliopsida; Fabales; Fabaceae
Source: RefSeq, a predicted model, not a curated record